UUCGUGUGAACAGUGGUUGAUCACGAGUUAGUCGGUCCUAAGUUCAAGGCGAAAGCCGAAAAUUUUCAAGUAAAGAAAAAUCAUAAAUAUAUUUGUUAUCUGAUGGAUUUUUAAACACUUGAAUAAUUUUGAACGAAAGGGAAUACGGUUCCAAUUCCGUAACCUGUUGAGUAUCCGUUUGUUAUUAAAUAUGGGCCUCGUGCUCAUCCUGGCAACAGGAACGACCAUAAAGAAGCCGUCGAGAGGUAUCGGAAGAGUUUUCUUUUCUGUUUUAUAGCCGUACUACCAUGGAAGUCUUUCGCAGAGAGAUAUGGUAGAUGGGCUAGAAGAGCAUGACAUAUACUGUUGUGUCGAUAUUUUCUCCUCGGACCUUGAAAAUUUAUGGUGGGGAUACGCAAACUUCUCAACAGGCCGUACCAAUAUCCGCAGCUGGUCUCCAAGGUGAAGAGUCUCUAGUCGAUAGAAUA
This 467-nucleotide ribosomal RNA is filed under the name Dichaetophora sp. BN2 (Gao). RNAcentral describes it as "partial 28S ribosomal RNA". It matches the Rfam family "Eukaryotic large subunit ribosomal RNA", at positions 1508 to 1897 of the family's 3401-position model. Lineage: Eukaryota; Metazoa; Arthropoda; Insecta; Diptera; Drosophilidae. The record is from RNAcentral.